UGGUGUAGCUCAGCAGGCAGAGCAACUGACUUGUAAUCAGUAGGUCGGGGGUUCGAUUCCCUCCACC
This 67-nucleotide transfer RNA is filed under the name uncultured Halospina sp. It matches the Rfam family "tRNA". From Rfam's summary of the family: Transfer RNA (tRNA) molecules are approximately 80 nucleotides in length. Their secondary structure includes four short double-helical elements and three loops (D, anti-codon, and T loops). Further hydrogen bonds mediate the characteristic L-shaped molecular structure. tRNAs have two regions of fundamental functional importance: the anti-codon, which is responsible for specific mRNA codon recognition, and the 3' end, to which the tRNAs corresponding amino acid is attached (by aminoacyl-tRNA synthetases). tRNAs cope with the degeneracy of the genetic code in two manners: having more than one tRNA (with a specific anti-codon) for a particular amino acid; and 'wobble' base-pairing, i.e. permitting non-standard base-pairing at the 3rd anti-codon position. The record is from RNAcentral. Lineage: Bacteria; Pseudomonadati; Pseudomonadota; Gammaproteobacteria.